Molecule: non-coding RNA, 412 nt
Organism: Pelodiscus sinensis (Chinese soft-shelled turtle)
Lineage: Eukaryota; Metazoa; Chordata; Testudines; Trionychidae
Source: RefSeq, a predicted model, not a curated record
CUUUGGCUAGUGGGCGGAUCAUAGUGCUUGGCUGAGGAGGAGGUGGUGGUGGUUUGUUAAAUCUAUUGCUUCAGAUGGUGAUUUGAGAACAGAACACUUGGGUUCUAUUUUCACCUCCAGAGUAACCUAACUGGGAAAGCCCCUUGUGCAAAAUUAUCAAAGGAAAGGAGAAUAAGAGAGAAAAUGAGAGGAAGACAAGCAAAACUCCAAAAUGAGAGAAAAGGAAAGAUCUUAUAUGAGAGGGCUGCUCUGCAACACAGAAUAAAGCUACCGAGGCUGUUGGACAUCAUUUUAGACUCUCUGUCUGAUUGGCAGAUCACAGAAAAGAAAUACAUCCCAUGAGCCUCUGUGCGAGGUCGUUACCAACUGAUUGAGUAUUCACUUUCAUGCCUUAAAUCUCUAAAACCCAGGU